RNAcentral lists this ribosomal RNA (412 nucleotides) under uncultured microorganism. Its description in RNAcentral is "bacterial SSU rRNA". It matches the Rfam family "Archaeal small subunit ribosomal RNA", at positions 330 to 745 of the family's 1478-position model. The record is from RNAcentral.
GUGCAGCAGGCGCGAAUCCUCCGCAAUGCUCGAAAGAGCGACGGGGACUCCAAGUGCCUACGCUUUGCGUAGGCUUUUCCCAAGCCUAAAAGACUUGGGGAAUAAGGGCUGGGUAAGACGGGUGCCAGCCGCCGCGGUAAUACCCGCAGCCCGAGUGGUGGCCGCUUUUAUUGGGCCUAAAGCGUCCGUAGCCGGUCUGGUAAAUGCCUGGGUAAAUCGUCUGGCUCAACCAGACGAAUUCCGGGUAGACUGCCAGACUAGGGGACCGGAGGAAGGAGAGGGUACUCCGGGGGUAGGGGUGAAAUCCUGUAAUCCUCGGAGGACCACCGGUGGCGAAGGCGCUCUCCUAGGACGGGUCCGACGGUGAGGGACGAAAGCCAGGGGAGCAAACCGGAUUAGAUACCCGUGUAGU